UCGUAGAUCAAAGUGCAGUGAGUAAUAUGCGGAAGUAACAUCUGGUAGAGAAAGUAAAAUUCCAUUGGCACUUCUUCAAACUCCUCGAAGUCAGCGGAAAAUGUCGACACCUGUAGUGGUAAUAACUUUGGUAAACAUCACUUAUUUUUGGAAUUCAUUAUGAUAUUGUGCGAAAAUUUCAAAUCGGAAUCACUGCUUCCCAAGUUACUUUCUUUUGAGACCCGGAGAUCUGGUAACGUAGCUCAAAGCAUUCCUGCAAGCAUCAAAUGUGCCACUUGAAUAAAUGCAUCAUAUGGGCAGCAGUUUCCUGUCAGUCACAAUUCACUUGUUUGCUAUAAAAAUAAAGGGUGCUUUAUUUACCUUCA
RNAcentral lists this long non-coding RNA (365 nucleotides) under Stegodyphus dumicola. RNAcentral describes it as "uncharacterized LOC118190637, transcript variant X1". The record is from RNAcentral. Lineage: Eukaryota; Metazoa; Arthropoda; Arachnida; Araneae; Eresidae.